AUGGACAGCACUUGGCAGUUGGUGAUAGUUGGAUGCUGCCAGGAAGUAAGUCAAGUAAAGAGAAGCAAGAUAUUCUGGAUAAGACUAUCUUUAAUUUUGUCAAAAUUUGACCAACUGGUCAACCAAAGAGAAUCAGCACAAAAUGGCUACAUAUGCUCCAAAGUCUAUGGGACUAUUGCAAUAGCUAAAUAUCCUGUGAAGCCUCAAGAAUACUGGUCUCUUCACCAUUAUAUCAAUAUAAUACAACCUGUGGAAUUUUGAAUACCAGAUUUUGGAUGCCAACUCUCUCAAUUUAUCCAAAACUAUGCCUUUUCAUAAUAUUCUUACCACUACUGAUAGAUAAUAAUAUAUUCUGCUCUCCAGAUGUGUAUAUGUAACCUCCCUAUAGAUAUAGAAAAAUAGUCUCAGAAUAAAGAACAAAAACACUGAAUACUUAUCUAUUAA
RNAcentral lists this long non-coding RNA (444 nucleotides) under Monodelphis domestica (gray short-tailed opossum). Its description in RNAcentral is "lncRNA (ENSMODG00000030886.2)". Lineage: Eukaryota; Metazoa; Chordata; Mammalia; Didelphimorphia; Didelphidae. The record is from RNAcentral.